GGUGGCUCGGCAGACGGUGCCCCGACGGCUCUGCCCUGUCGCGCCCAGGCUCCCCUGCAGACUCACCUCACACCCUGCCUGGAGGAGGCCGCUUUGUGGGUGACAACGUAGAAGACACCUGCCCCGUAUCCCGUGUGGGAAAGGCCGGCACGUGGUCGCAGCCGUGGCUUGCCGUGGUGUCGCAGGGCAGCGAGCUCCGCAAGGCCAGCUGGUCCACUGCAAACUCGUAGGCCUGGACCAGCCCCUGGUGUCUAGGGAGAGCACAGAGACGGCCCUCAGCCCCGAGCUCCUGCCGCAGGUCACCGAGCAGCUGUCUUGGGCCUCAGUGUGCCGGGCACUCCGGGUCCUGCACCAGAGGCACACCGCAGCCCAACCCGCUGACCUCCUGUGCGUGGUGAAGUUGUCCAGGUCGGCGCCGCGCACCACCCUCUCGGAGGGCACGUUGGCCGUGAUGAGGCUGUGGCUGUCGAAGGCGAUGUGGCGGACGGGGUGCCUGGAACACAGGGGAGGGCGCUCGCACAGAAAAGGACUCACAGUGAGCUACCUGCAGACGCUCUGAAAGAGCGCGGUGCAGCACCCUGCCGAGGGGGCAGCACGCAGGCCACGCAGUGACGAGAGGGACAAACGCUGCCCGUGGCGCAGCGGACAGACGGCGCAAGUGCGACCUGGCGCGUCUGCUGGGUCGGUGGGGGCGCACAGGACAGACUGCGCUGUUCAGGAGCUUCGGACAGACCACGACCACAGAGCGAAACCUGACUGUUCGCUACACAAAGCCACGUCUGCAGGUGACAGGGACGCGGCGGUCGCUUCAGUACCAGAAAGGGGGGUUCAGAGCAUUCAGAAAACUUGCCAGGAAAAGAAUGAAAACCUAUUGGACCUAAUGUUUAAAUUUGGUUUCUUUGGUCAUUAUCAGCUAUUCAGGCUUCCUUUUUAAUUUUUCCUUCAAAUGUCCAAAUUUGAAGAUUUCGAUGAAUACUUUCUGGGAAAAUAACUUACCAAAUCUGCCACCCCAGAGAGAGAGAAAGUAGCAAAGAGCACGCUGGGGCAGCUGUCAGGGGGCCCCGGGUGCAGCCUGGAAGCAGCAGCCGGGCCGGGCUGUGGCCCCCAGGAGCAGGGGCAACCGUCCUGCGGACAAGCAGGGCCCACCUGGCACGUCCCUUGGUGUACAGCCCCAGACUGUUGCAGCAAACGGGGGAGCACACAGUCACCUCGGUGGGUGCUGAAACGAGACUUGACGAGCUACAGCACAGUUCUAAUGAAAAGUCUUUGAGAAACAGUGCCCCACACUUUUACCACUAUCCACGCUGUUUUCAGAAAAUCAGAUAAAGAAAAUGAGAGGUGGGUAGACUUCUCAUUAGAGACGACACUCCAAGACAAUUCAUUGAUAAUUCAGAAUCAAGUGCAAAUUAAUGUCAAAAUCAAUAGCUAUAUCUUAUGUACCAACAACCACUAGUUUAAAAAAUGUAAUCACAGAUCCCACUGACAACAGCAAUUAAAAGCAAAAUACCCUAUCACGACUUUCUCAUCUGAGAGCUCUGCCAUAUAUAAUACAUUGCACCAAAAUAAAUUAGAGGGCUUACGGAGUCAAACAUAAUUAAGCUCUAGAUGUUCAGAACAGGGACGGCCUUUCUACACAGAAGAAACCCAGAAGUCAGACAUCGGUAACUGGGGAAACGCUGGUGACAGAGAGGACAGGCCGGUUCCUCCGAGUUCACAGGAGAGACUGCCAACCCAACAUUAAAUGAGAGAAGAGGAAAAACAGUUCACAGAGAAGAAACACUGAUGGCUUUUGCACACGUGUAAGUUGUUCAAGUGCAUGUGCGAUGGGAGAAACUAAGAAACAAACCUGAAGUGCAGUGCCCGCUGGUCCCCUGCCCACCCAGCACAGGGAUCUGGCAGAACGCUGAGGCCCCCUGCUGGUGAGGCCUGGUAGGCAGGUGCUUACGUGAGGCCGCUGGUUUGGUAACAUCCAACAAAAUGAGAAACACACCUCACUUUGCACCUAGCGAGUCUGCUUCUAGGAAUUUAUCUAGGCACAUGUAAUACAGGUGUACAAGUGCACAUACACACACAUGCAAGGCCAUUAGGCACAGCACUUUUUGGCAGCAAAAAGUGGGGCUUCUUGUUUCAACUCACUGACCCUCUCACUGAAAGUCGCUGGACACUGCCGGAUGCACUGAACGGACAUCCUGUCGGCAGCACCACUGUGCGUGUCAGUGGCUGGCAUCCUGCUUUAAAAAUGCCGGAUAGCCCUGGCUGGGGUAGCUCAGUGGAUUGAGCACCGG
This is a long non-coding RNA of Phyllostomus hastatus (greater spear-nosed bat), 2285 nucleotides long. RefSeq lists it as uncharacterized. The transcript has 4 exons. The record is from RefSeq and is a predicted model, not a curated record. Lineage: Eukaryota; Metazoa; Chordata; Mammalia; Chiroptera; Phyllostomidae.